AUCAGCAAAUAAAGGAGGCUUGCAAUUGUGGACAUGCAAACCACGAUUGAAAUCAUCUUAGUGCGAUGUGUUUCUCAAUAUAUAGCAACAUUGAGAUGUUGGUGCAAGCUGAAAUGUCAGCGGCACAUAAGGAGCAGUCAGUUAUUAGUGGAAGUUGAAAUGCUAGACGCAAGGUACGUAUAGCAUAGAGCAAGUUUAUUUCCACUUAUCUCGUAGUGGUGACGACAUGAUUCCUAGCCCAACCCAGCCUGCACGCAAUAACCUGAGGGAGCAAUGCAGCCUGCACCAAGUCCCUACAGCUGUGCUCCUCCCUUCCGACAGCUCAUUGAGUAGAUGAAUUAGCUAUAUUAGUACUUUACUGUGUGAACUGCGGUCGAUCUUAUAUAUGCAAUCUAUGUGUGGAACUAUUAUAACUUGUACUUGUCUUAAAUCAUGAUGUGAACAAUUAGUUAUGUACUUUACGGUGAAAUCUGCUAUGCGGUGCUGAAAUUCCUGGAGAAACCAUGCUAAAAUUUUUGUUAUAUACAUACUGAAAUUUCUGUUCUGCUACUGGAAUCAAGUCUGAAGAGCUGUUCAAAAAGUGUCUACUGUUUUUUUAACUGAGGCGCCUUCUGUCAGAAUAAGCUCUGGAGGCUGCUCAAAUGAAUUUGCAAUACAAGUUAACAUGGACUUAACAGAUGUGCUAAUGGGCUACAACAG
This 699-nucleotide long non-coding RNA is filed under the name Sorghum bicolor (sorghum). RNAcentral describes it as "long non-coding RNA (SBIC_LNC009572)". The record is from RNAcentral. Lineage: Eukaryota; Viridiplantae; Streptophyta; Magnoliopsida; Poales; Poaceae.